GAGAAGAACGUAGCGAAAUGCGAUAAGUAAUGUGAAUUGCAGAAUUCAGUGAAUCAUCGAAUCUUUGAACGCACAUUGCGCCCAUUAGUAUUCUAGUGGGCAUGCCUGUUCGAGCGUCAUUUCAACCCUUAAGCCUAGCUUAGUAUUGGGAAUCGACUUUACUGUCGUUCCUCAAAUUCAACGGCGGAUUUAUAGCAAUCUCUGAACGUAGUAAUUUUUUUCCUCGUUUUUGAAAUACUAUAAACCUCAGCCGCUAAACCCCCAAUUUUUUUAUGGUUGACCUCGGAUCAGGUAGGAAUACCCGCUGAACUUAAGCAUAUCAAUAAGCGGAGGA
Molecule: unclassified non-coding RNA, 334 nt
Filed under: soil metagenome
Description: partial contains 5.8S ribosomal RNA, internal transcribed spacer 2, and large subunit ribosomal RNA
Rfam family: 5.8S ribosomal RNA (bases 3-119)
Source: RNAcentral